Molecule: ribosomal RNA, 466 nt
Filed under: uncultured bacterium
Lineage: Bacteria
Description: SSU rRNA
Rfam family: Bacterial small subunit ribosomal RNA
Source: RNAcentral
AGGACGAACGCUGGCGGCGUGCUUAACACAUGCAAGUCGAACGAGGUGCUUGCACCUAGUGGCGAACGGGUGAGUAACACGUGAGCAACCUGCCCCUGGCUCUGGGAUAGCCUCCGGAAACGGGGAUUAAUACCGGACAUGACCUUCUUAGGCAUCUUUGAAGGUGGAAAGUUUUUCGGCCAGGGAGGGGCUCGCGGCAUAUCAGCUUGUUGGAGGGGUAACGGCCCACCAAGGCGACGACGGGUAGCCGGCCUGAGAGGGCGACCGGCCACACUGGGACUGAGACACGGCCCAGACUCCUACGGGAGGCAGCAGUGGGGAAUAUUGCGCAAUGGGGGAAACCCUGACGCAGCGACGCCGCGUGCGGGAUGAAGGCCUUCGGGUUGUAAACCGCUUUCACCAGGGACGAAGCGAGAGUGACGGUACCUGGGGAAGAAGCGCCGGCUAACUACGUGCCAGCAGCCGC